RNAcentral lists this ribosomal RNA (445 nucleotides) under uncultured bacterium. RNAcentral's name for it is "partial 16S ribosomal RNA". It matches the Rfam family "Bacterial small subunit ribosomal RNA", at positions 354 to 796 of the family's 1533-position model. The record is from RNAcentral.
GUGAGGAAUAUUGGUCAAUGGGCGGAAGCCUGAACCAGCCAUCCCGCGUGCAGGAAGACGGCCCUAUGGGUUGUAAACUGCUUUUCCAGGGGGCGAAACUUUCCGAUGUAUCGGGAUUUGACGGUACCCUGGGAAUAAGCAUCGGCUAACUCCGUGCCAGCAGCCGCGGUAAUACGGAGGAUGCGAGCGUUAUCCGGAUUUAUUGGGUUUAAAGGGUGCGUAGGCGGAUCGAUAAGUCAGUGGUGAAACCCUGCAGCUUAACUGUAGACUUGCCGUUGAUACUGUUGGUCUUGAGUGUGGUCAAGGUAGGCGGAAUGUGUAAUGUAGCGGUGAAAUGCUUAGAUAUUACACAGAACACCGAUUGCGAAGGCAGCUUACUGGGCCAUUACUGACGCUGAUGCACGAAAGCGUGGGGAUCGAACAGGAUUAGAUACCCUUGUAGUCC